GACAGAGGGUGCAAACGUUGUUCGGAAUUACUGGGCGUAAAGCGUGCGUAGGCGGUCCGCGAAGUCUGAUGUGAAAGCCCCGGGCUCAACCUGGGAACUGCAUUGGAAACUAACGGGCUCGAGUGUGGCAGAGGGGGGUGGAAUUCCACGUGUAGCAGUGAAAUGCGUAGAGAUGUGGAGGAACACCGAUGGCGAAGGCAGCCCCCUGGGCUAACACUGACGCUCAGGCACGAAAGCGUGGGGAGCAAACAGG
This 253-nucleotide ribosomal RNA is filed under the name uncultured bacterium. RNAcentral describes it as "partial 16S ribosomal RNA". It matches the Rfam family "Bacterial small subunit ribosomal RNA", at positions 524 to 776 of the family's 1533-position model. The record is from RNAcentral.